GAUAUAAUCCCCCAGGAUAUAAUUCUCAGUGACCUUCUUCCUCCAGCCACACCCCACCUGCCUACAGUUACCAGCUAAUAAUCAUUUCGAGUCACUAAACCAUCAGAUGGAUUAUUCCACUGAGCAAUGUGUUGUAGCUCUAAUCAUCUAAACGUGGCACUUCCGAACAUUCCUGGGUUAACCCAGGAGCUUGGGGGGACAUACUAACCUUGCAGCAGGAAGAGCUGCAGGGAGUCAGGAGUGUGAGACUGACUUUGCUGAGCCAUGCCGACGAAUAUCUGGGGAGAGAGUGAUCCAGGCGAAGGGACCGCAGGUACACCAGCUCUGAGGACCGAUGAGAUGGCCGGUGUGGCUGGAGAAUCCCCAGAGGGCCCCCAGGUGGAUGACUGCAGUACCAGCCUGCAGCCACAAGGUGGCAGAACUACAAGACAGAGCAGCUUGGUCCCCUGAGUCACCACCUGGAGCCAACCCACCCAGGAAAGCCACUCAGCGGGACCUGCAGUAGUCCUUGUGUGGACAGGAAACAGCGAUUUAUUGUGUCAAGUGCUUGAUCUUUUGGAGUCUGUUUGUUAUGACAGUCGAAGUUUAAAUGGCGAAUACAAGCUAGUUAAGUUGGAAUCAAGUCAACAAUUUUUUUUUUUUACCUAAAUAGUCAGAGAAGCGUCCACUAAGUCCAAAUUACUACCUCAAAGCCUGGUUUCUGUUUGAUUGAUUUGACGUCCAUUCACACACACACACACAAAGCCAUCAACGUUGCAUCAACUCAACCUCCAGGAGCUGCUUGCGUCUGGCUUGGUGCCUUGGCCUAGCUGUUGUCUUCAUGGUGGCUUUCAUUCCUGGUUUCCUCUGUCUUGGAUCUUUGUGAAUUAAACUCACUUGGAGGGUUUUCUUUUGUUUUUCCUCCUCCUUACUUUUUUAAAAAACUUUUCCUGGUACUGGGGAUCAAACCCAGAGUCUCCCCUACGCUAGUCCAGUGCUCCACCUCUGAGCUGCAUCCCCAGGCCCUGUUGAUUGGAUUUGAGACAGGAUCUUGCUAAGUGGCCCAGGCUGGUCUUGAACUUGGGAUUGUCCGGCCUUUGUCCCUGCAGUCGCUGGGACCACAGCCGGGUGCCACUGCGCUCGGCUUAAGCCCUUCCUUGACAUUCGGACUAACUGCGAUGCUGGCCUGGUUGUCCUGCUCUUUCUAAGAGAGAUGCUUAGUUGUACCCUUAUGGUCAGGUGUCCCCCAGUUCUGGAAGCUUCUAGAGGUAUUAGUUCUGAGUCGGUGCUGGCUCAGUAAUCCCCAACAGAGAUCCACUUAGGCUGCUUCAGGAAAGGGGAGGUGUUUGCAAGAAUGUCCUAGGAAUCAGAGAAUGGGAUUCGGCUGGGCCUCAAGGAACUGGGGCGAGGAAGCUAUUCGCCCCAGGAAGUCACCGUCUCCUCCUUUGAGACGCUCCGGCCUUCCUCGAAAUGGCACAGACUGCACUUCCUGCCUCCCCUCCUCCCCUCUCUCCUUUCUGCCUCCUUCAGAUGUCUGCGCACCCCCCAGGUGUUAGGCCUGGAGAAUACAAUGACACCGAGACCGUCAAGGACCCCGCUGUCACGGAACUUAUGUUCUUAAGGGGAAACCUAUAAAAAUAAGUAAAAAAAAAAAAAAAUCGACAAAAAUAAGACAUUACAAAACUUUGAGCUGUGAAGGGAAUAAGUAUGGAGUAAAGAAUAA
Molecule: non-coding RNA, 1702 nt
Organism: Ictidomys tridecemlineatus (thirteen-lined ground squirrel)
Lineage: Eukaryota; Metazoa; Chordata; Mammalia; Rodentia; Sciuridae
Source: RefSeq, a predicted model, not a curated record